UUUGGAUUGAUUUUUUUAACUAAAACUAAACUAUGGUCACCCCCAGUUUGCCAAUGAUUCAAAACCAAGAACAACGGUUAAGAUUUGGUUAAGAAAGGACAGAGAUAAGGGGCAAAGUUUACAAUAAUGAUAAUCAUAAACAUGAAAAUUCCCACACCACUAAUGCACCACUACCAGUCAAAACACCAUCCUGUUGUCAACAGAAUCACACCCUAGUUAUAAGGUUCUAAAAUGACUACUUACAUAACAAAAAGAGAGGAUGGAAUUAAUUCUGACCUACCACCAAAAUAUCCAGAGAGAUAGUGACUUAACUGUUGCCAAAGAUGUCUUUCAGGGAACACACCCAAAUUCCAAAUCCCACAGUCCUUGUGUACUCUGAGAUAGCAUGAAAACAUGCACAAAACAGGUUCCCCUUUUCAUGAAACCUUGGUGUGGAACCCUUCCAUCAUUCCAUUCUUAUUUUCAAGAGGUAAAGAAACGGUUCUCCCCUCUGCCUCUGGUGCCAUCACCAACACCAUCGAUCCUCUGCAUAAGCUCAUUAUGACGAACAGAAUCCACAGUGAUUCUAUCAUUCUCAUCAUUUAUACGCACCAGUCCCCCAAGUUCUGCCAAGGAAGCAGCAUAUGGAUGGGUACCAUCGAGAAUUGCAUCUUUGAGCUUUUCUAAAGUGCAUUUUGGCCUCGAGGCUCGUUUAUGAGCAAUGAAAGGCUGAAUAUCCCAUUUCGAUGGAUCUGGAUAAGCUGAUUCAGGCGUCUCUUUCGUUAUGAUAUCAAGCACAACUUCACAACUCUCAGAGAAGUCAAAUGCGCGUCUUGGCCUAGUCACGGAAGGAACAUCAUUUGCAACUUCAUUAUCAGUACCAAAGUAGAGCUCCAAGCAUCUCAAAGCAAUCAUUUCCCUCGUGCUAGUUCCAAAUCCUCAGGCGAUAUUGGAGACGCCUCAACCAAAUCAUAGAUAUCAGAGGGGUCUAAUACGUUGAAGCUUGCUAGGCACUCAAUGACCCAGAGCCAUGCCUGCUUCGAACUCGAGCUAGAAUGGUCAUCCAUAUCCAGAAUGCUUUCUAAAAAUGGCUGCAUCGGUCACAAAACAAAAAAGCUCAAAUUAACAAAGAAUUCCACACAAUAUUUCUUACUUAUACACAAUUAUUACAUCAUAAAGAACGCAUAAGAGAAAAUGUUGGAAUGGAAAGGGGUUUAUUUUUUCUCCCUCGUAAGUCUAUAAAAGAUUGGGCUUUGGGUUCUUAAAUUGAUUCCUUUGAAACGAGGGGGAAAAAAAACCAGAGUGCGCGUGUGUGCGCGCUCAACUUUUUCUUGGCAACCAAACGGGAGAGGAAUGUAAAGAGCGAGAGAGAUUAAUGGCUACAUUUCAAAAAAAUGAAGCACAGAGUGAGAGAGAGAGAGGCACGACAGCGAAUGGGAAUAGGGCUCAUCAAGUUGGAGUUGGCUUUCUGUACGGUUUGAAGUUUGAACUACGUCACGGUGCCUCUUGUAGUUUUCAUAAUCAC
RNAcentral lists this unclassified non-coding RNA (1504 nucleotides) under Hevea brasiliensis (rubber tree). Lineage: Eukaryota; Viridiplantae; Streptophyta; Magnoliopsida; Malpighiales; Euphorbiaceae. The record is from RNAcentral.